Molecule: ribosomal RNA, 492 nt
Filed under: uncultured bacterium
Lineage: Bacteria
Description: bacterial SSU rRNA
Rfam family: Bacterial small subunit ribosomal RNA
Source: RNAcentral
GAUGAACGCUAGCGACAGGCCUAACACAUGCAAGUCGAGGGGCAGCACAAGGAGCAAUCUGAGGUGGCGACCGGCGCACGGGUGAGUAACACGUAUGCAACCUACCUGUAAGAGGGGAAUAACCCGUUGAAAACGGACUAAUACCGCAUAACACUGUAGAACCGCAUGGUUUGACAGUUAAACAUUUAUGGCUUACAGAUGGGCAUGCGCAUGAUUAGCUAGUUGGUGAGGUAACGGCUCACCAAGGCAACGAUCAUUAGGGGUUCUGAGAGGAAGGUCCCCCACACUGGUACUGAGACACGGACCAGACUCCUACGGGAGGCAGCAGUGAGGAAUAUUGGUCAAUGGGCGAGAGCCUGAACCAGCCAAGUCGCGUGAAGGAUGAAGGUUUUAUGAAUUGUAAACUUCUUUGCAGGGGAAUAAAGUGUCCGACGUGUCGGAUUUUGUAUGUACUCUGCGAAUAAGGAUCGGCUAACUCCGUGCCAGCAGCCG